AGUUGCCAGCGCGUAAUGGGCGGGAACUCUGAAGAGACUGCCCCGGUUAACGGGGAGGAAGGUGGGGAUGACGUCAAGUCCUCAUGGCCCUUAUGUCUGGGGCUACACACGUGCUACAAUGGUAUGUACAACGGGCAGCCAGCCGGCGACGGUGAGCUAAUCCCUUAAAGCAUAUCUCAGUCCGGAUUGGAGUCUGCAACUCGACUCCAUGAAGUUGGAAUCGCUAGUAAUCGUGGAUCAGCAUGCCACGGUGAAUACGUUCCCGGGCCUUGUACACACCGCCCGUCACACCAUGAGAGUUGAUUGUACCCGACGUCAGUGGGCCAACCCUUCGGGGGGGCAGGUGCCUAAGGUAUGGUUGAUAAUUAGGGUGAAGUCGUAACAAGGUAGCCGUUGGGGAACCAGCGGCUGGAUCACCUCCUUUCUAAGGAAAGAAAUAAGAUACAAAAGACAAGUAAUUUUUCGGUCACUAGCCGGUUUUGAGGGAUCAAAGGAGCGAUGCCUUAUUGUUCUUUGGAAAUCUGUUGAAAGAAAAUGA
This 538-nucleotide ribosomal RNA is filed under the name uncultured delta proteobacterium. RNAcentral describes it as "bacterial SSU rRNA". The stretch from base 1 to 424 matches the Rfam family "Bacterial small subunit ribosomal RNA", at positions 1113 to 1533 of the family's 1533-position model. The record is from RNAcentral. Lineage: Bacteria; Deltaproteobacteria.